GAACGGUAACAGGAAGCAGCUUGCUGCUUCGCUGACGAGUGGCGGACGGGUGAGUAAUGUCUGGGAAACUGCCUGAUGGAGGGGGAUAACUACUGGAAACGGUGGCUAAUACCGCAUAACGUCGCAAGACCAAAGAGGGGGACCUUCGGGCCUCUUGCCAUCAGAUGUGCCCAGAUGGGAUUAGCUUGUUGGUGAGGUAACGGCUCACCAAGGCGACGAUCCCUAGCUGGUCUGAGAGGAUGACCAGCCACAC
RNAcentral lists this ribosomal RNA (253 nucleotides) under uncultured bacterium. RNAcentral's name for it is "partial 16S ribosomal RNA". It matches the Rfam family "Bacterial small subunit ribosomal RNA", at positions 64 to 313 of the family's 1533-position model. The record is from RNAcentral.